GCGGCGUGCCUAAUACAUGCAAGUAGAACGCUGAAGAGAGGAGCUUGCUCUUCUUGGAUGAGUUGCGAACGGGUGAGUAACGCGUAGGUAACCUGCCUUGUAGCGGGGGAUAACUAUUGGAAACGAUAGCUAAUACCGCAUAACAAUGGAUGACACAUGUCAUUUAUUUGAAAGGGGCAAUUGCUCCACUACAAGAUGGACCUGCGUUGUAUUAGCUAGUAGGUGAGGUAACGGCUCACCUAGGCGACGAUACAUAGCCGACCUGAGAGGGUGAUCGGCCACACUGGGACUGAGACACGGCCCAGACUCCUACGGGAGGCAGCAGUAGGGAAUCUUCGGCAAUGGGGGCAACCCUGACCGAGCAACGCCGCGUGAGUGAAGAAGGUUUUCGGAUCGUAAAGCUCUGUUGUAAGUCAAGAACGAGUGUGAGAGUGGAAAGUUCACACUGUGACGGUAGCUUACCAGAAAGGGACGGCUAACUACGUGCCAGCAGCCGCGGU
Molecule: ribosomal RNA, 500 nt
Filed under: unidentified oral bacterium SH4
Lineage: Bacteria
Also listed under: 3 other names
Description: bacterial SSU rRNA
Rfam family: Bacterial small subunit ribosomal RNA
Source: RNAcentral